AGGAGCUCCUCCAACAUGACUGGCUCACUGGCCUCAGGGGUGUGGCUCCCUAUCACGUUGACUGGUGUGAAUUACAGCUAUCUCACAAAGAAAGAUCUGCUGCAGUAGUAACCAUCAAAGCUUCCCUUACUGAUGGCCUUUUGAGGCCAGGGGACAAAGAGUGACCCACAGGAGAGAAGUGGCAAUUACAUCCAGAUAGAUACCCACUUCACACACCUGUCACAACACAGAUGAACCCAUCAUAAAGGGCUGGUGGGAGAGGACAAAAGUGCAGAAAUUCCCCCGCUGUGACCCUCCAGCUUCCUCCGCUCUUUUUCUCCUCAACUAUUAAGCCAUAAAGGGGGAGGAUGGAACUCAUCCCAAAGGGGGAGACUUAAGGUGAACCGACGACAUGGCACCGGUUCCUUGCGGGCCCAACUCAAACAAUCAUUGGAUCGACAACCAUGCAUGCACAGACAUGUUGAAUCAAAAAGUUAAGAGUCGCCAUUAAACCAAACGAGCAUGUCUUUGGACUUGGAGAGAAACCCCAGAGAAACUGUAGGGCUGCUUCCGAAAAAGUUUCAUUGGUAAGGACUCUUUAGCCAAAGCGAAAGUGUGUCAGUGUUCACCAUGUUAAAUGCAGACUGAAUAGUGCAGUCAGUAAAGAAGGUAGAAAAAGGAGCCUAUAUGCUUCCUAUCAUAGUUUCUUUGGCAUAGGGAGCUUGUGAUGUCCCUCACUGGUGCUAAGGAGCCAUAGGGGAUCUCAUAAUCCUUUGCG
Long non-coding RNA from Fundulus heteroclitus (mummichog), 757 nucleotides. RefSeq lists it as uncharacterized. Lineage: Eukaryota; Metazoa; Chordata; Actinopteri; Cyprinodontiformes; Fundulidae. The record is from RefSeq and is a predicted model, not a curated record. The transcript has 4 exons.